RNAcentral lists this ribosomal RNA (195 nucleotides) under Triticum aestivum (bread wheat). RNAcentral describes it as "partial small subunit ribosomal RNA". The record is from RNAcentral. Lineage: Eukaryota; Viridiplantae; Streptophyta; Magnoliopsida; Poales; Poaceae.
AUGAUUUCUUUUUUCACAUUCUUUUACUUUUUGUUCUUUCGAGAAAGAUAUCGUCCGAUUCUCCUUCUAUUGAUUCUUUUACGAUCGAGAUGUACGAAUCCAUGUAUCUACAUACAUAGAUUUUGUUCAUGGAUUAACGAAAAUGUGCAAGAGCUCUAUUUGCCUCUACCAUUCUAUGAGUCGCUGCCCCCAUGA